RNAcentral lists this ribosomal RNA (433 nucleotides) under uncultured bacterium. RNAcentral's name for it is "partial 16S ribosomal RNA". It matches the Rfam family "Bacterial small subunit ribosomal RNA", at positions 29 to 507 of the family's 1533-position model. The record is from RNAcentral.
AACGAACGCUGGCGGCAUGCCUAACACAUGCAAGUCGAACGAGACCUUCGGGUCUAGUGGCGCACGGGUACGUAACGCGUGGGAACUUGCCCUUAGGUUCGGCAUAACUCCCCGAAAGGGGUGCUAAUACCGGAUAAUGUCUUCGGACCAAAGAUUUAUCGCCUUUGGAUGGGCCCUCGUUGGAUUAGCUAGUUGGUAGGGUAAAAGCAUACCAUGGAGACGAUCCAUAGCUGGUCUGAGAGGAGGAUCAGCCACACUGGGACUGAGACACGGCCCAGACUCCUACGGGAAGCAGCAGUGGGGAAUAUUGGACAAUGGGCGAAAGCCUGAUCCAGCAAUGCCGGGUGAGUGAUGAAGGCGUUAGGGUUGUAAAGCUCUUUUACCCGGGAUGAUAAUGACGGUACCGGGUGAAUAAGCUCCGGCUAACUCCGUG